Molecule: unclassified non-coding RNA, 240 nt
Filed under: soil metagenome
Description: partial contains 5.8S ribosomal RNA, internal transcribed spacer 2, and large subunit ribosomal RNA
Source: RNAcentral
AACCAUAGAAACCUGCGGAGUACCUGCGGAGGGAUCAUUAUAGAAUUGUUCGAAUUCCAUACGGGCAUUUUCUAAAAAAUCCGUAUCCACACCGGUAGGGCUUCUUUCUCUCUCUCUCUCUUCGGAGAAGAGGGGGGCUGGGCUCUUGCCGUAGGGUUCCAUUUUCCUCACUCCAAAAUUUUUAUUUUGGGUGUGGGGGGUUUGGUUCCUGUCUGACCCAUGCCUAUAAUUUUAUUUUGU